GAAUGAAUCUCGCUGUGUUGUCCAGGCUGGAGUGCAGUGGCACCAUCUCGGCUCACUGCAACCUCUAGCUCCCAGGUUCAAGCGAUUCUCCUGACUCAGCCCCCUGAGUAGCUGGGAUUACAGGCACGCGCCACCACUCCCAGUUCACACCCCGCCACUCCUGAGCACCGCACACCGGCUUCCUCCCAGUCCCUCAUCUGAGAACUCAUGAAGCCACUUGGAAUCCCUCUCUGCUUUGCCUGGCUCAUUCCAUGUCAAUUUCAGAUCUUCGCUUCAGGUCAGCUCCAAGGAGGCUAUCCUUGCCCAUCUUCCUAAAAUAGAGCUCUCAAAACCUGGCUGUUUUCCUUCAGAGCACUGGCCUCCAAUUUAAAUCCCAACUAAGGUACCUGCCGUCGGCAGAUUUGAGCUUUCUUCUUGGACACGUAUUACCCACAGUCCUCCAGACUCUGGUAGAUUGCAUAUAACCUGCUUUCUUUCUGUUCCCGGGCGGCAUCAGACCCGUCGGAGAGUAAAUCCCAAGUAAGGUACCUGCCGUCGGCAGAUUGGAGCUUUCUUCUUGGACACCUAAUACCCACAGUCCUCCAG
Molecule: non-coding RNA, 585 nt
Filed under: Pan troglodytes (chimpanzee)
Lineage: Eukaryota; Metazoa; Chordata; Mammalia; Primates; Hominidae
Source: RNAcentral